Molecule: ribosomal RNA, 840 nt
Filed under: uncultured bacterium
Lineage: Bacteria
Description: bacterial SSU rRNA
Rfam family: Bacterial small subunit ribosomal RNA
Source: RNAcentral
GCUGGUGACGUGCCUAACACAUGCAAGUCAAACGAACCUUGAAAAUGAAGCCUCGGUGGAUUUUUCUCUGGUUAGUGGCAAACGGGUGAGUAAUACAUAGGUAACCUGCCUUAAAGUCUGGGAUAACUUUUCGAAAGAAAAGCUAAUACCGGAUAUUCUCAUUAAAUCAUAAGAUUCUAUGAGGAAAGUUUUUCGCUUUAAGAUGGGCUUAUGUCUGAUUAGCUAGUUGGUAAGAUAAAAGCUUACCAAGGCGACGAUCAGUAGCUGGUCUGAGAGGAUGUACAGCCACACUGGAACUGAGACACGGUCCAGACUCCUACGGGAGGCAGCAGUGAGGAAUAUUGCGCAAUGGGCGAAAGCCUGACGCAGCGACGUCACGUGAGCGAUGAAGUCUCUAGGGAUGUAAAGCUCUGUCAAGAGGGACGAUUAUGACGGUACCUCUAAAGGAAGCCCCGGCUAACUACGUGCCAGCAGCCGCGGUAAUACGUAGGGGGCAAGCGUUAUCCGGAUUUAUUGGGCAUAAAGAGCAUGUAGGCGGUUUUUUAAGUCAGGUGUUAAAGGCUUCAGCUUAACUGAAGUAUGCGCCUGAAACUGAGAGACUAGAGUUUAGUAGAGGAAAGCGGAACUCACGGUGUAGCGGUGAAAUGCGUAGAUAUCGUGAGGAACACCAGUUGCGAAGGCGGCUUUCUGGACUAAUACUGACGCUGAGAUGCGAAAGCGUGGGGAGCGAACGGGAUUAGAUACCCCGGUAGUCCACGCCGUAAACGUUGUUCACUAGGUGUUGGAGGUAUCGACCCCUUCAGUGCCACAGAAAAUUCGUUAAGUGAACCGCCUGGGAAG